Molecule: long non-coding RNA, 505 nt
Filed under: Helianthus annuus (common sunflower)
Lineage: Eukaryota; Viridiplantae; Streptophyta; Magnoliopsida; Asterales; Asteraceae
Description: hypothetical non coding rna
Source: RNAcentral
UCCUUUCUAAUCAUGCUCUCACCCUUGGUGCGAUUCGUCUACAGACCAACUUGCAGUGAUUAACCCUUGGUGUUCAUCAACGUCCAAUGAUUAAUCCUUUCAAACGAAUCAUUACUCCCUAAACGAAUCUUCAAACGAAUCUUCACAGUGAAUCUGCAAACGUUUUGAGUAAGUUACUGAAAUUGUUUUAUGGGUUUGAUGAAAUUCAAUGUUUUGAUUAAGACUUUAGGGUUCUAGUAUUCAAAUCUUGAAGGGGGUGAAUCAAAUUUGGAACAGUUAGACUAUUGUUUCAUGUUAAAGUAAUUUGAACAAAUUUGUUGAAACUUUAAGUAGAUCUGCUAUCCUGCUAUAAUUUUUUGUACUCCAUUGUUAACAUAUAAGUCCAAUUUUGACUUUUUUAAGUCAAUUCAUGUAGCUUUGUGGUUUUAUCACUACAUUUUUUUUUUAAUUUAUUUAUUUUACACAGCAAAUUUAUAUAGACAAACUAUUAGUCAUUUUGUGGCUU